RNAcentral lists this transfer RNA (66 nucleotides) under Creontiades dilutus (green mirid). Its description in RNAcentral is "tRNA-Ile". Lineage: Eukaryota; Metazoa; Arthropoda; Insecta; Hemiptera; Miridae. The record is from RNAcentral.
AAUAAGGUGCCUGAUAAAAAGGAUUAUUCUGAUAGAAUAAAUUAUGUAUAAAUAAUACUCUUAUUA